GACGAACGCUGGCGGCGUGCCUAACACAUGCAAGUCGUACGGGACCGGGGGCAACUCCGGUUCAGUGGCAGACGGGUGCGUAACACGUGAGGAACUUGUCCGGUGGCGGGGGAUAGCCGGCCCAACGGCCGGGUAAUACCGCAUACGCUCGUUCGGGGGCAUCCCUGGGCGAGGAAAGCAGCCGCAAGGUUGCGCCGACGGAGGGCCUCGCGACCUAUCAGCUUGUUGGCGGGGUAACGGCCCACCAAGGCGACGACGGGUAGCUGGUCUGAGAGGAUGAUCAGCCACAUUGGGACUGAGACACGGCCCAGACUCCUACGGGAGGCAGCAGUGGGGAAUAUUGCGCAAUGGCCGCAAGGCUGACGCAGCGACGCCGCGUGUGGGAUGACGGUCUUCGGAUUGUAAACCACUGUCAGGGGGAACGAAUACAGGGCUUCGAUAAGGAGACCCUGGGUGACGGUACCUCCAAAGGAAGCACCGGCUAACUCCGUGC
RNAcentral lists this ribosomal RNA (493 nucleotides) under uncultured bacterium. Its description in RNAcentral is "bacterial SSU rRNA". It matches the Rfam family "Bacterial small subunit ribosomal RNA", at positions 28 to 508 of the family's 1533-position model. The record is from RNAcentral.